RNAcentral lists this ribosomal RNA (523 nucleotides) under uncultured bacterium. Its description in RNAcentral is "bacterial SSU rRNA". It matches the Rfam family "Bacterial small subunit ribosomal RNA", at positions 986 to 1509 of the family's 1533-position model. The record is from RNAcentral.
AUCCAGCGAAUUCGGUAGAGAUACCUUAGUGCCUUCGGGAACGCUGAGACAGGUGCUGCAUGGCUGUCGUCAGCUCGUGUUGUGAAAUGUUGGGUUAAGUCCCGCAACGAGCGCAACCCUUAUCCUUUGUUGCCAGCGGUCCGGCCGGGAACUCAAAGGAGACUGCCAGUGAUAAACUGGAGGAAGGUGGGGAUGACGUCAAGUCAUCAUGGCCCUUACGAGUAGGGCUACACACGUGCUACAAUGGCGCAUACAAAGAGAAGCGACCUCGCGAGAGCAAGCGGACCUCAUAAAGUGCGUCGUAGUCCGGAUUGGAGUCUGCAACUCGACUCCAUGAAGUCGGAAUCGCUAGUAAUCGUAGAUCAGAAUGCUACGGUGAAUACGUUCCCGGGCCUUGUACACACCGCCCGUCACACCAUGGGAGUGGGUUGCAAAAGAAGUAGGUAGCUUAACCUUCGGGAGGGCGCUUACCACUUUGUGAUUCAUGACUGGGGUGAAGUCGUAACAAGGUAAGCGUAGAUGA